AUAAAGUGCAGCCAUGAGUUUCUGCGCCCAACUUUGAUCGUCCGUCUUAUUUGAAAUUUUUUUAUAAUUAGUAUUUUUUUGUUGCUAUAAGAUGAUGAAACACGAAUAAUACUUUACUCGUGACUUAUAUUUUUAAUUAUUUUUAAAAAAAAUUUAAAUAAGACGAAUGGUCAAAGUUGGGCGCGAAAAACGAUGGCUGCACUUAUU
MicroRNA precursor from Oryza sativa Indica Group (long-grained rice), 207 nucleotides. It matches the Rfam family "MIR812 microRNA precursor family". NCBI's taxonomy places the organism in Eukaryota, Viridiplantae, Streptophyta, Magnoliopsida, Poales, Poaceae. The record is from Rfam.